Molecule: long non-coding RNA, 428 nt
Organism: Sander lucioperca (pikeperch)
Lineage: Eukaryota; Metazoa; Chordata; Actinopteri; Perciformes; Percidae
Exons: 3
Source: RefSeq, a predicted model, not a curated record
UUUUUGAAAAACUGUGACAGAGAUCAGACUUGUGGGGGUGUUUUGAGGCGGUGUGAGAGUCCCGUACAGGAAACAGGAAACAUCACUGCCUCUAUCUCUGCCACUAGACACGAGCUCUGAACUGCCGGGAGUUUGGGGAACAGCUGACUGUUGUUUCCUGCAACAACAAAGCCCUCUGUGUCUCUCUCCUCUCUUUUCUUCUCUCUCUCUCUCUCUCCUGGGAAAUAAAGCUGCAUUCAAGUGCGCUCAGAAACGCCGAAAUCUAUAUCUAUAUACGAUCUGAUGGAAACCAGCUGGGAAAUAUAAAGUCUGCAACAAGAAUACAACAGGACGUUUCUUUGACAAUCCCCUUUCAUGUUAUUGAGAGUUCAGUUGUUCACUCACCGAGCUCUCAGGGCGCUGACUGUAGACUUAUCUAUCCUGGAGAG